Molecule: ribosomal RNA, 433 nt
Filed under: uncultured bacterium
Lineage: Bacteria
Description: partial 16S ribosomal RNA
Rfam family: Bacterial small subunit ribosomal RNA
Source: RNAcentral
AACGAACGCUGGCGGCAUGCCUAACACAUGCAAGUCGAACGAGACCUUCGGGUCUAGUGGCGCACGGGUGCGUAACGCGUGGGAACCUGCCCUUAGGUUCGGAAUAACUCCCCGAAAGGGGUGCUAAUACCGGAUAAUGUCUUCGGACCAAAGAUUUAUCGCCUUUGGAUGGGCCCGCGUUGGAUUAGCUAGUUGGUAGGGUAAAAGCCUACCGAGGCGACGAUGCAUAGCUGGGCUGAGAGGCUGAUCAGCCACACUGGGACUGAGACACGGCCCAGACUCCUACGGGAGGCAGCAGUGGGGAAUAUUGGACAAUGGGCGAAAGCCUGAUCCAGCAAUGCCGCGUGAGUGAUGAAGGCCUUAGGGUUGUAAAGCUCUUUUACCCGGGAUGAUAAUGACAGUACCGAGAGAAUAAGCUCCGGCUAACUCCGUG